Molecule: long non-coding RNA, 685 nt
Filed under: Homo sapiens (human)
Lineage: Eukaryota; Metazoa; Chordata; Mammalia; Primates; Hominidae
Description: HSALNT0300974
Source: RNAcentral
CGGAGUGUCCCGGCCUGCCUGGACUCCAGCCGGGACCUCCCACAUGAGGCUCAUUCAUCUAUGCCCAGGAUUCUCAAAGAACCCCGGCCCCAGCCUGCUCUCUGUCAUGUGCUGAGCCCCAAGCUUACCCAUGCCUCCUGCCGUGGGGACCAGAGAAUGAGAAGACCACCAGGGAGACCCGCCCUGGAGACCAUGGUGUGCUGCUGACUCACGAGAAUGACAUCACCAAGUGUGCCCUCUGUCCUGUCACUUGGAGCUCCUGGAAGCACAGAAUGUCCCUCAGCCUGGACACUGCCCCUGGCCUGGGGAGGAGCCAUUUGACAAGCUCUUGUUGAACAAAUGCUACACAUGAACACAUGGGCUGUGUCCUGAAGCUGGAUGUGCAGUCUUGAAGGAAUCCUACGCUUCAUGAAUGAGGAUUUGACAUCUGGCAGAGGUCUUUAUGAACACAUUUAUGAUCAUCCUUCAAAGCAACCACAUGAAAUGGGCCAGGGGCUUGUUCUCUUUUAGCAGACAGACGGGUUGAGUCACCACAAGAUGCUGUUAUGGUUUAAAUGUGUGGAGCUAUAUAUAUACAUACACACAUACACAUGUAUAUAUCAAUCAAGCUAUACUUAUCCCCAAUAACAGAGAGGAAAAAUAUAUUAUUAGAAUAAGAGCCGCAUAUUUUGGAAAACUUACCAUG